UGGGGAAUAUUGGGGCAAUGGGAGGCAACUCUGACCCAGCAACGCCGCGUGAAUGAUGAAGGUCUUCGGAUUGUAAAGUUCUGUGAUGGGGGACGAAGAAAGUGACGGUACCCUUGGAGGAAGCCCCGGCUAACUACGUGCCAGCAGCCGCGGUAAUACGUAGGGGGCAAGCGUUAUCCGGAAUUAUUGGGCGUAAAGAGUGCGUAGGUGGUUACCUAAGCAGGGGGUGAAAGGCAUUGGCUUAACCAAUGUUAGCCCCCUGAACUGGGCUACUUGAGUGCAGGAGAGGAAAGCGGAAUUCCUAGUGUAGCGGUGAAAUGCGUAGAUAUUAGGAGGAACACCAGUGGCGAAGGCGGCUUUCUGGACUGUUACUGACACUGAGGCACGAAAGUGUGGGGAGCAAACAGGAUUAGAUACCCUGGUAGU
This 426-nucleotide ribosomal RNA is filed under the name uncultured bacterium. RNAcentral's name for it is "bacterial SSU rRNA". It matches the Rfam family "Bacterial small subunit ribosomal RNA", at positions 355 to 794 of the family's 1533-position model. The record is from RNAcentral.